UACGAAGGGGGCUAGCGUUGCUCGGAAUCACUGGGCGUAAAGGGCGCGUAGGCGGGCUCUUAAGUCAGUGGUGAAAGCCCGGAGCUCAACUCCGGAAUUGCCAUUGAAACUGUUCGGCUCGAGUACGAGAGAGGUGAGUGGAAUUCCCAGUGUAGAGGUGAAAUUCGUAGAUAUUGGGAAGAACACCGGUGGCGAAGGCGGCUCACUGGCUCGUUACUGACGCUGAGGUGCGAAAGCGUGGGGAGCAAACAGG
This 253-nucleotide ribosomal RNA is filed under the name uncultured bacterium. Its description in RNAcentral is "partial 16S ribosomal RNA". It matches the Rfam family "Bacterial small subunit ribosomal RNA", at positions 524 to 776 of the family's 1533-position model. The record is from RNAcentral.